GACGAACGCUGGCGGCGUGCUUAACACAUGCAAGUCGAACGGAGAAGCCCCUUCUUGCUUGAGUGGGUCAGUGGCGAACGGGUAAGUCACACGUGAGCAACCUUCCCCUGACUCUGGAAUAAGCGCUGCAAGCGGCAUCUCAUACUGGAAACGCGAACGGUCUGCAUGGGCACUUUCAGGUACGUUGGUCGGUUGGGGAUGGGCUCGCGGCCUAUCAGCUUGUUGGUGAGGUACUGGCUAACCAAGGCAACGACGGCUAGCCGGCCUGGGCGGGCGACCGGCCACACUGGGACUGAGACACGGCCCAGACUCCAACGGGAGGCAGCAGUGGGGAAUAUUGAACAAUGGGCGAAAGCCUGAUGCAGCGACGCCGCGGGGGGGAUGCCGGCCUUCGGGUGGUAAACCUCUUUCAGAGGGGAAGAAGCGGUAGUGACGGUACCUGCAGAAGAAGCACCGGCUAACUACGUG
RNAcentral lists this ribosomal RNA (468 nucleotides) under uncultured bacterium. RNAcentral describes it as "partial 16S ribosomal RNA". It matches the Rfam family "Bacterial small subunit ribosomal RNA", at positions 28 to 507 of the family's 1533-position model. The record is from RNAcentral.